Molecule: non-coding RNA, 113 nt
Organism: Acanthosepion pharaonis
Lineage: Eukaryota; Metazoa; Mollusca; Cephalopoda; Sepiida; Sepiidae
Source: the annotation of a GenBank genome assembly
UACAGCCAUAUCACAUUAAAACACUUGUUCCUAUAUGAUCACAAAAGUUAAGCAAGAUUGAGCCUGGUCAGUACCUAAAUCAGUGACCUUUUGGAAAUAUCUGGUGUUGUAAG